CCUACGGGAGGCACCAGUGAGGAAUAUUGGUCAAUGGGCGCGAGCCUGAACCAGCCAAGUAGCGUGAAGGAUGACUGCCCUACGGGUUGUAAACUUUUUUUACAAAGGAAUAAAGUGAGGUACGUGUGUCUUAUUGUAUGUACUUUAUGAAUCAGGCUCGGCUAACUCCGUGCCAGCAGCCGCGGUUAUACGGAGGAUCUGAGCGUUAUCCGGAUUUAUUGGGUUUAAAGGGAGCGUAGAUGGGUGUUCAAGUCAGUUGUGAAAGUUUGCGGCUCAACCGUAAAAUUGCAAUUGAUACUGGCAGUCUUGAGUACAGUUGAGGUAGGCGGAAUUCGUGGUGUAGCGGUGAAAUGCGUAGAUAUCACGAAGAACACCGAUGGCGAAGGCGGCUUGCUGAACUGCCACUGACAUUGAUGCUCGAAAGUGUGGGUAUCAAACAGGAUUAGAUACCCGUGUAGUC
RNAcentral lists this ribosomal RNA (460 nucleotides) under uncultured bacterium. RNAcentral's name for it is "partial 16S ribosomal RNA". It matches the Rfam family "Bacterial small subunit ribosomal RNA", at positions 338 to 795 of the family's 1533-position model. The record is from RNAcentral.